AUGCCAUCUGAUAUUGGAAAUUCAAAAAACGGUGCUUUUAAAUAUCUAAAGGACAGUUUGUGGAGCAAAGUUCAAGGGUGGAUUGCAAACACGAUGUCAUCGGCAGGUAAGGAGGUGUUAGUUAAGGCUGUAGCCCAAGCAGUGCAUGUCUUCUCGAUGUCAUGCUUUAAACUCCCAAGGGGCCUGUGUGAACAUUUGAACAAGUUGAUAAGAAAGUUUUGGUGGGGCAGUAAGGAAGGCAAACGAAAACCGCAUUGGGUUUCUUGGCAAAUAAUGACCCAACCUAAAGGAAUGGGGGGCUUGGGAUUCAAGGACUUUGAACUGUUUAAUCUAGCUAUGUUAGCUAGGCAAGCCUGGAGGUUACUUCAGCACCCCAAUACUCUUUGCGCCAGAAUCCUCAGAAGUAUCUAUCACCCGCAAUCUGAUAUAUUAGAAGCUCAAUUGGGAGGCCAUCCUAGUCAAGUGUGGAGGGCUGUGAUCGAAGGCAGAGAUACAUUGAAACAAGGAUUGAUUAGAAGGAUCGGGAAUGAAGAGACAACAUAUAUAUGGAGGGACAAUUGGAUCCCGAGAGAGGAGAUGCUGCGACCAUAUGGGUGUUUAGCAACACAUCCACCGGCUAGAGUUUCUGAGCUAAUAGAUCAUACAUCCGCGUCUUGGGAUCGUGCGAGGGUAGAAGCGACCUUUCUGCCGAUGGACAGUCGAAUUAUCCUGAGCAUCCCGCUGUGUACACGUAACUUGCCUGAUUUCUGGAGCUGGCACUAUGAGAAGCAUGGAGUUUUUUCGGUGAAGUCCGCUUAUCGUAUGAUUGUGGCUACAAAGCAAAGAAGAGAAGCGUGGCUUGAUGGAAACCCUGGCUCCUCAAACUCAAACGCUGAGGAAGGCUCGUGGAAAACUUUAUGGAAAACGCCCGUCCCGGCUAAGGUGCGAAUGUUUUUGUGGCGACUGUCAAAACACUCCCUGCCCACGAACGACGUACGAGCUCAUAGACACAUGGCUGAUUCGGCUAGCUGCGGAUUAUGUGGAGCACCAGACUCGUGGAGGCACUCGCCGCUGGAAUGUGCUGCAUCCCGAUGCGUUUGGGCAUUGAUCGAUAAUGAAUUGGUGCAUAAAAUGACGACGGUAACAGAGCCUAAUGCAAAACACUGGUUGUUUUCAUUAAUGGAGAUGUUAGAGCACGACAAGUUUGUGCUGCUCUCCGUCACCCUAUGGGCGAUCUGGUCAGCUAGGAGGAAAGCAAUACACGAAGGGAUCUUUCAGAGUCCACAAUCUACCCAAGCAUUCAUUCGAAGGUUCAUCGAUGAUUUGCAGAUAACUUCAGCCCAACAGAAACCAACACCGGCCCGGGUUCCUGUAUCGGUUACUUCAGCCCGCCCAAGAGCCAAGGCUCCGCCAUCGGGGUAUGCUAAGAUCCAUGUGGAUGCUGCUGUUAGGCAUGAGCGAGGUGGAGCAGCUGUAGCUGUUUGCAGGGAUGAAGGAGGAAACUACCUGGGGAGUUCGGCGCUGGUUGUUUACGGUGUGAGCAAUCCUACGAUAUUGGAGGCAACGGCAUGCAGAGAAGCGCUAGCGUUGGCAGAGGACAUGAACCUGACACAUUGCGUGAUCUCAAGCGACUGCAAGCAGGUGGUGUCCGAUAUCACAAAUGGAACCCUAGGGGCGCAUGGAGCUAUCAUUGCGGAGAUUAGGGCGAAAGCAGAGUUGCAUAACUUGAAGUUUAUUUUCAAGGGUCGUGCUGUUAAUUAUGAAGCACAUAGAUUAGCUCGUUUUUCUAUUUCUCAGGGUUUGGGUCGUCACGUCUCUCACUUGCAACGUGAAUGA
This 1815-nucleotide ribosomal RNA is filed under the name Triticum aestivum (bread wheat). RNAcentral describes it as "partial small subunit ribosomal RNA". Lineage: Eukaryota; Viridiplantae; Streptophyta; Magnoliopsida; Poales; Poaceae. The record is from RNAcentral.